Molecule: long non-coding RNA, 1426 nt
Filed under: Fukomys damarensis (Damara mole-rat)
Lineage: Eukaryota; Metazoa; Chordata; Mammalia; Rodentia; Bathyergidae
Description: lncRNA (ENSFDAG00000022209.1)
Source: RNAcentral
CCUUGCUGCACCCUUGAGAGCUUAAGGGGAGUCUGAUCCUUCAGGGGUCAGACUGACUUUGAUCUCCUGAUAGGCUCCACCAAACCUCAUUUACAGGGAAGCUGGAAGCUGCCCCCAGAGCACAGGCUUGGGCUGAGCUCCCCGUGUGGACCAGGGCCAGGCUAGUUAAAUUUUAUAACUGAAGUGUGGCAAUUCAAGGGCUGACCUGUGCUUUACAGCCUCCUCUCUCUCCUUGCCUUUCAGUAACAUUCAGCCUGCAACUCACAACUGGGCCUGGGUGAGAGGAAACCGCUUCUCUCCUCUCCAUCCCCGCCCCAGCACACCUGCCCAGAAACCUCUCUGUUAAGGAGAUAGAAGAGUACUCAAUAGCUAUGGCCUCAGAACAAGCACUAAGCUCACUCUCCGAAGGCUGGGCUAGGGUGGCCCCUCUGGAGUGGGUGGGGUUGAGAAAGGGGACAGGAGAGUUCUAAAGCUACCCUGGAGUAGCUAGGAAAGGCUGUAGCGUGGAAAGGGAGUGUCAGGCUCAGGGAAAGGGAGCUGGAGUCUCAGAGGAUUUUCGGUGGCAGUGCUACAGUUGUCCUUGGGCAUGCUGUGUGAUCCCACCUGGCUUCUAGCUGAGGUGGCAGUGCCAGAAAGGGGUUGCAGGUCAUGGUUGGCUCUUUUUUCCUUAUCUAGGGCCCACUGAACAGCGCGAUACCCAGCCCAAGACUUCACCUGAAGUAAGAAUCCCGAGGGGUCCCAAAAGGGACCUAUUUUUUUUUUUUUUUUUUUUUUGAGACAGGGUCUCACUAUGUAGUUGAGACUGACCUGGAACUCACUAUGUAGCCCAGGCUGGUCUCGAACUCACAGCGAUCUUCCUGCCUCAGCCUCCAGAGUGCUGGGAUUACAGGUGUGCGCCCCCACGCUCAGCCAAAAGGGACCUAUUCUAACUUCCUGAACUGCUUCCUUUGAAGACAACCCUCACCAGUCAUCGCAGCAAUCCCAGCUGUCAUCACAAGGCUGCAGUCUCUGUACUGUGGUAGGGGACCCAAAGUUGGGGCUAGCAGGCAGAACUCUGGCUUCUAAGCAACAACCUCCCCUCCCCUUCCAGGCCAGUGCUCAGGGCCCCGCAGAGGAAGAUAGGCAAAGAUGGAACGCCUCUCUUCCCAGGACUAGCCCAAUUCUUCACUCUCACCAGAGGCUUUUGUGUGCAAAGUUACAAGUCUCAUCUUCCUGCGCCUCCCCAUCACCCCCGGAAGACACCCCGGGGCCGCUCCGAACGCCCAGCCAGGCCGCCGAGGAACCUCGACCCGCACUACCAGGCGCGGCGGCGGCAGGCACGAAGUUCAAUCAAGUUGGGCCAUUGUCUCUGCGUGUCCUUCCCUCUGCCCUGCACGCGCCGCCACGCACCCGACCCAGCCCCAAGCGCCCGAGAGGCUCGGCGUGG